GAUUUCAAUAAAUCCUGACCCAAUUAGAACUUUAUAAGUCUAAUUGGCAAAUUCAAGAUAAAAUUUCUUAAUAUGUGACCCCAUAGGUUUCAUUUUAUCUGGUAGUGAGAUAUAUUGUAAUCUCUAUCACAAUAUCAUUGAAACUCUUUUCGAUGGAUUGAAAUAAUUUCAACUCUACCAUUGAAGGAUUAUCGAUUAUCAAGAUGAUGUUCGAUGAGUCUCAUAAUCCACUAGUAACACCUAGCAGUAUGUAGUGACAAUCCAAUAGAAUGAAAGUAUGAAUUCUUAGGUACAGUUAUCAUAUGAUUCAGUUCUUCUAUCAUGAGUUCCGACUUGAUGGAGGUCAUGGAGAACUCGUCAAAGUUCAUUGUCAAUCAUAUGUUAGAUUGGCUCGACUCGAGUUCAUUUAUAAAUUCUAUGAAUACUCUUUUUCAGUAUUCACACUUGCUUUGGCUAAAGACUUUCUGAACUCAGUCUCGCAAAUUACUUAGAACUUUUUCUUUUUUACUAAGAUCGAUAGAUUCCAUCUAGGUACAUCCUACUUCAAACAGCG
This 553-nucleotide long non-coding RNA is filed under the name Elaeis guineensis (African oil palm). RNAcentral's name for it is "long non-coding RNA (EGUI_LNC047792)". The record is from RNAcentral. Lineage: Eukaryota; Viridiplantae; Streptophyta; Magnoliopsida; Arecales; Arecaceae.